AAGUCGUAACAAGGUUUCCGUAGGUGAACCUGCGGAUGGAUCAUUACCAAUUUCUAUAUUAUAAAACUGCUCAAGCCCCGCAACGGGUUUGGGCAACUUUUAUAAAUGUAAAUUGUUGAACCUGUUAUAUUAUUCUGUGUGGUUCAGUGUUAUUACUUGGCCACCAGCAUUUAUAAAAUCUAAAACAUUUUAUAUUAACUACUAUACUACUAAUAACUAUAUAUAUAAUACUUUUUAUAGCCACAAGCUGUAAAAAAACAACUAAUAUAAAAAACAACUUUCAACAAUGGAUCUCUAGGCUCUC
This 304-nucleotide unclassified non-coding RNA is filed under the name fungal sp. Its description in RNAcentral is "partial internal transcribed spacer region". The stretch from base 1 to 46 matches the Rfam family "Eukaryotic small subunit ribosomal RNA", at positions 1786 to 1831 of the family's 1831-position model. The record is from RNAcentral. Lineage: Eukaryota; Fungi.